This 254-nucleotide ribosomal RNA is filed under the name uncultured bacterium. RNAcentral's name for it is "partial 16S ribosomal RNA". It matches the Rfam family "Bacterial small subunit ribosomal RNA", at positions 524 to 776 of the family's 1533-position model. The record is from RNAcentral.
UACGUAGGGGGGCUAGCGUUGUCCGGAUUUAUUGGGCGUAAAGAGCGUGUAGGCGGCCAGGUAGGUCUGCUGUGAAAACUCGAGGCUCAACCUCGAGACGUCGGCGGAAACCAUCUGGCUAGAGUCCGGAAGAGGAGAGUGGAAUUCCUGGUGUAGCGGUGAAAUGCGCAGAUAUCAGGAAGAACACCCGUGGCGAAGGCGGCUCUCUAGUACGGUACUGACGCUGAGACGCGAAAGCGUGGGGAGCGAACAGG